RNAcentral lists this ribosomal RNA (468 nucleotides) under uncultured bacterium. RNAcentral describes it as "partial 16S ribosomal RNA". It matches the Rfam family "Bacterial small subunit ribosomal RNA", at positions 28 to 507 of the family's 1533-position model. The record is from RNAcentral.
GACGAACGCUGGCGGCGUGCUUAACACAUGCAAGUCGAACGGAAAGGCCCUGCUUUUGUGGGGUGCUCGAGUGGCGAACGGGUGAUUAACACGUGAGUAACCUGCCCUUGACUUUGGGAUAACUUCAGGAAACUGGGGCUAAUACCGGAUAGGAGCUCCUGCUGCAUGGUGGGGGUUGGAAAGUUUCGGCGGUUGGGGAUGGACUCGCGGCUUAUCAGCUUGUUGGUGGGGUAGUGGCUUACCAAGGCUUUGACGGGUAGCCGGCAUGAGAGGGUGACCGGCCACAUUGGGACUGAGAUACGGCCCAGACUCCUACGGGAGGCAGCAGUGGGGAAUAUUGCACAAUGGGCGGAAGCCUGAUGCAGCAACGCCGCGUGCGGGAUGACGGCCUUCGGGUUGUAAACCGCUUUCGCCUGUGACGAAGCGUGAGUGACGGUAAUGGGUAAAGAAGCACCGGCUAACUACGUG